Molecule: long non-coding RNA, 1004 nt
Filed under: Homo sapiens (human)
Lineage: Eukaryota; Metazoa; Chordata; Mammalia; Primates; Hominidae
Description: HSALNT0185546
Source: RNAcentral
UCCAGCCCCAGCAGUCCUGCUCCUGUGUAUGCCUUCCUCACUUUUCCUGCCUCCUCUCCAAACCUUUGUAUUGAUGUUUAAUGUGAUAAAUAAGCUUUGCCUGUUCCAGAAUUUAUGUCAAGGGAAUCAUACAAUGUGUAUUUUCAUGUGUGUCUUCUUUUACUCCUAUAUGAUAUUUGUGCAAUAAUGCAGUUAGCUGUUGUUUGUUGCUUUUCAUUGCUGCAUGAUGUGCAUAGAACAUUUACAAUCUGUUCAGUCCUGUGUCUCUGGAUGGGGAAGUGAGUCUCGUGCCCUCAGGAACAAAGAGGAACCUGGAUGGGCACGUGUAGUCAUGCGGUUCCUUUGCUGAUCCCUCUCACCGCACCUACCCUGAUGUCUUUUGGUUUGGGAGGAGAAGCACUUCCUCUAGCUCCUAACUGGUAGCAGGCCUCCUGGUAGGUCAUCCUUGCCAGUGGUACCAGGCUUGCCUAAUGUUGCUGGCAGGACUCCCUUUCAAUACAGAGUGGGAAUGGGCUUAGCUGACCCACCUCCUGUUACCAGAUUUGGUUCUGAGAAACAGAGGACUAGAUCACUUUCUUCUGCUGAGUGGGGGACUGAAGAUGCCCGGACACUCUGUUGAUCCCUGAUUCUGGGGUCCCAAACUAUUUUGCCUUCCUCUUUCCACCUUUCAGAGUUUUCCUGUGUGUCUUUCAUUACUUGCAGAGUUUAGAGUUGUAUUUAUUAGGGAGUAGCAGAGAAAAAGGAGUCCAUGUACCUGGUCAAGACCAUUGUUAUUCCACCAAAACCAAAUCAGAUAAAAGUGAGGGCUUAUCUAGUUAGAGAGUGGUGUGGUGCCCAGAAAAGCCAAUUUUUGGCUGCUGUGUCAUUUAUUUCCUCAAUGGCAACCUUUCAAUUUCCUUCUAAACUUCAAGGAGGAAAAGUUCCACUAUGAGACACAUAGUGGAAAAAUACAUUUAUUUAAUCAGAAUAUCUGGAGAAAUACAUGCACAGUAUCAGGAAAUUUA